GACGAACGCUGGCGGCGUGCUUAACACAUGCAAGUCGAACGGAAAGGCCCUGCUUUUGUGGGGUGCUCGAGUGGCGAACGGGUGAGUAACACGUGAGUAACCUGCCCUUGACUUUGGGAUAACUUCAGGCAACUGGGGCUACUACCGGAUAGGAGCUCCUGCUGCAUGGUGGGGGUUGGAAAGUUUCGGCGGUUGGGGAUGGACUCGCGGCUUAUCAGCUUGUUGGUGGGGUAGUGGCUUACCAAGGCUUUGACGGGUAGCCGGCCUGAGAGGGUGACCGGCCACAUUGGGACUGAGAUACGGCCCAGACUCCUACGGGAGGCAGCAGUGGGGAAUAUUGCACAAUGGGCGGAAGCCUGAUGCAGCAACGCCGCGUGCGGGAUGACGGCCUUCGGGUUGUAAACCGCUUUCGCCUGUGACGAAGCGUGAGUGACGGUAAUGGGUAAAGAAGCACCGGCUAACUACGUG
This 468-nucleotide ribosomal RNA is filed under the name uncultured bacterium. Its description in RNAcentral is "partial 16S ribosomal RNA". It matches the Rfam family "Bacterial small subunit ribosomal RNA", at positions 28 to 507 of the family's 1533-position model. The record is from RNAcentral.